UACGAAGGGGGCUAGCGUUGCUCGGAAUCACUGGGCGUAAAGGGUGCGUAGGCGGGUCUUUAAGUCAGGGGUGAAAUCCUGGAGCUCAACUCCAGAACUGCCUUUGAUACUGAAGAUCUUGAGUUCGGGAGAGGUAAGUGGAACUGCGAGUGUAGAGGUGAAAUUCGUAGAUAUUCGCAAGAACACCAGUGGCGAAGGCGGCUCACUGGCCCGAUACUGACGCUGAGGCACGAAAGCGUGGGGAGCAAACAGG
Molecule: ribosomal RNA, 253 nt
Filed under: uncultured bacterium
Lineage: Bacteria
Description: partial 16S ribosomal RNA
Rfam family: Bacterial small subunit ribosomal RNA
Source: RNAcentral